GUGUUAGUUCGCUAACACAUAUACUUAAAAUUGGAACGAUACAGAGAAGAUUAGCAUGGCCGCCUGCGCAAGGAUGACACGCAAAUUCGUUGAUGAAGCGUUCCUCAUUUGC
RNAcentral lists this small nuclear RNA (112 nucleotides) under Neogobius melanostomus (round goby). Lineage: Eukaryota; Metazoa; Chordata; Actinopteri; Gobiiformes; Gobiidae. The record is from RNAcentral.